This is a long non-coding RNA of Bos taurus (domestic cattle), 954 nucleotides long. NCBI's taxonomy places the organism in Eukaryota, Metazoa, Chordata, Mammalia, Artiodactyla, Bovidae. The record is from Ensembl.
GGGUUGGGGGAGGGGCAUGGUAGUUUUGCUAUGAUGUCAUCAGUCAUGUAAGGCCCAUUUUAGAGAAUCAGCCCUUUCUGAGGGUAUGAUGCUCCCCCAGGCUCAGUUCCCUGGGGCCCAGUCUCUCCAGGGCACCCAGCCACCCCGGCUGCCUGAAAGGGCACAGAGAGUUGGGUCUGGGCCUGUUGAUGUUCAUCAAAGACCACCAGGAGGACACUUAUAAGUCAAUCAGAGUUGAGUUUAGUGUCUUGUUGAAACAAGAGAGACUGACAGGUGGAAAACUGAGGGGGCUGUCUGGAAGAGUGUCAGGAAGAACUUAGAAUCUGAUUUGGACUUGAGCUGGGUAAUUUGGAAGUGGGCUCAGGGAAGUGUGUUUUGCUCUGGAUCAUGGACAGGAGGGAUAAUCCUGUGAUUGUUUAAUGAGCCUUAUGUGGGAGUCAGGAGGAGGGAAGUGGGGCUAACGCUGUAAACAGUAAAGAAGUUUCAAUCACUCUCUGAGCCAGAAGACGUGUUUCUGGAACAUUCUUCAGGUCCUGGCUGUUCCUGCUUUUGUUGAUGCUCAGAUGUGAUUGUUAGAUGACCUUGUUAGGCACUUUCUGAGCCACAAGAGGAGCCCUGGAACAUUCUUCAGGUCCUGGCUGUUCCUGUUUUUGUUGAUGCUCAGGUGUGAUUGUUAGAUGACCUUGUUAGGCACUUUCUGAGCCACAAGAGGAGCCCUGGAACAUUCUUCAGGUCCUGGCUGUUCCUGUUUUUGUUGAUGCUCAGGUGUGAUUGUUAGAUGACCUUGUUAGGCACUUUCUGAGCCACAAGAGGAGCCCUGGAACAUUCUUCAGGUCCUGGCUGUCCCUGUUUUUGCUGAUGCUCAGGCUUGGCUGUCAGACGGCCUUGUUUUUAUCUUCAUCUGUCACACCACCCAGUGGCCUUGUCUGCUAGAUGUGUCCUGGGAAACUGUCU